AACAUUUAAAAUUUUUAUAAAUCCAAAUUAGCUUAAAAGCACUAACACCCUCCCUCUGACUUGUGUUCACUGCGACUACCAUCAUAGGAUACAUCUAAUGUUUAAAUGAUAAUCCAACAUUUGAUCAUUGCCUGUUACUGCAGUAUUGCUCUCAAUUUAUAUCACAUCCAAAUCCAAUUGCCUGGAUGUAGCACAUACAAUUGAACAUAUGAGAAACGACUCUAAUACCGUUGAGAUAAAGUUCAUUGGUGCUUCUUCUUGUGCAUCACCAUUGAGGCAACUGUACAUCUUCUAACAAAGAGGCCUUUGAGACUCUG
RNAcentral lists this unclassified non-coding RNA (317 nucleotides) under Hevea brasiliensis (rubber tree). The record is from RNAcentral. Lineage: Eukaryota; Viridiplantae; Streptophyta; Magnoliopsida; Malpighiales; Euphorbiaceae.